UACGUAGGGUGCAAGCGUUGUCCGGAAUUAUUGGGCGUAAAGAGCUCGUAGGCGGUCUGUCGCGUCGGCUGUGAAAACCCGGGGCUCAACCCCGGGCCUGCAGUCGAUACGGGCAGGCUAGAAUUCGGUAGGGGAGACUGGAAUUCCUGGUGUAGCGGUGAAAUGCGCAGAUAUCAGGAGGAACACCGGUGGCGAAGGCGGGUCUCUGGGCCGAUAUUGACGCUGAGGAGCGAAAGCGUGGGGAGCGAACAGG
RNAcentral lists this ribosomal RNA (253 nucleotides) under uncultured bacterium. RNAcentral describes it as "partial 16S ribosomal RNA". It matches the Rfam family "Bacterial small subunit ribosomal RNA", at positions 524 to 776 of the family's 1533-position model. The record is from RNAcentral.